GUCUAUGGCCAUGCCACCAUGAACGUUCCUGAUCUUGUCUGAUCUCGGAAGCUAAGCAGAGUUGGGCCUGGUUAGUACUUGGAUGGGAGACCACCUUGGAAUAACAGGUGCUGUAACCA
This 119-nucleotide ribosomal RNA is filed under the name Pteropus alecto (black flying fox). Lineage: Eukaryota; Metazoa; Chordata; Mammalia; Chiroptera; Pteropodidae. The record is from RNAcentral.